This is a long non-coding RNA of Hyla sarda, 1624 nucleotides long. RefSeq lists it as uncharacterized. The transcript has 3 exons. The record is from RefSeq and is a predicted model, not a curated record. Lineage: Eukaryota; Metazoa; Chordata; Amphibia; Anura; Hylidae.
GAAAAAGAUGGCAGGCACGUUACAUGAUGACUCAAGGGAAGGAAAAGGUUAACCUGAAUGGUACUUACCAUUGUCCGGUCACCAGGCUCUGCUCCUCCAUAUCUUAAAGAGACAAACAGACAUGAAGUGCUGCUCAGCCAAAUACUGACUUAUAUUCCAAAUACUGAACAUAUAUUUUCUGCAGGUUGAGAGAAAAGAAGGGAGCCCUGCUCAGCUGCAGCCAGGCACAGUUGAAACAGUCACAGUAGGAGAUCAGGGCAGAAAUGACCCUCUGCCACAAUGUAAAGACCUGAUGAAGCAGAUAAUCUGUGAAACGCGUUGCAUGAUGGGUGAUUAAAGUUGAUUCUACCUUCCGAGUGUGUCCAGCGCCUCCUGAUGUCCGCCACCUCCUUGGAGGCUCCCUGUUUAUUUGUACAAUGUAAAGGUGUCUUCAAACCAUAUUUUCUAAACUAACUCAGAUUAUAUUCCCUAACUACUCCUAACACCCCUCCUGCCCUUAAUUUUUUUUCGAGCUUUAGAAAGCUGUGUAUCAUAUCUUUCCCCUUGUUCACACCAUGUGAGCUCCCGGCAGGAGAAAGUGGGCAUUUCCCAGCAGGCGUGAGAGCUGUGCCUCGCCAUGCCCUGCACGCACUUCCUGAGUUUGGUUUCCUGCCAGGUCAGGAAGAAACCAAGCUAACUGUUUGACUUGUGAGGGAACAGAACAGAGCCACCUAGUGGCCAUUUUUUCAAUCACAUUAAAAACAUGUAAAGGUUGAGAAUUUUAACAGCAAGUAAAUGGCAAAGUGUCUUAUGAUUACAUAAGGAACAAUAUAUUAAAAGUUUAGUUUGGUGACAGGUACUCUUAAACCCCUUAAAGGGGUAUUCCAGGAUUUUUUUUUAUUUGACUAUGCUACAGGGGCUGUAAAGUUACAUAGUUACAUAGUUAGUACGAUCGAAAAAAGACAUACGUCCAUCAAGUUCAACCAGGGAAUUGAAGGGUAGGGGUGUGGUGGGAUAUUGGGGGAAGGGAUGGGAUUUUAUAUUUCUGCAUAAGCAUUAAUGUUAUUUUGUUAGUUAGUGUAGUUCAUAAUAUAGUGUCUGUACCUGUGUGUGAAGGUUUUCUCCCAAUUCUUUUGUGAUUUUCACCCCAAUAUUUCUUUUUAACUGCAUACAAAAUGACUGUUGUCUCAGAUUUUUCCCAGGUUGCAAUGUGGCCGAGACCUGACUCACUAGUCAGCUGAUGACAGGGAACCUGUCUGCUUCAAUGGGUGGAGGGAUCGCUUGGUGGGAGAGAGAUCAAUCUGCAACUAAUGCAACAGCUGUAGGCACCCUGAUUGAAAACCACAGGUCUUUUGAAUGGAUGCAGCUCAUUUAUGUUUCAAUGGGUGGGGUGGCUGAUGUGUGGGAGGGAGGAAAAUGGAAUUAUGGGAUUUGUAGGCAAAAGAAGAAAACAAACAGGAAAUACCAGUUCACAAAAAGCUAGCCACAGUGUUAUGGUAAUCUCACAACAUAGCCAUUUACCCCAAGACAAGUGCAGAUCCUUCCUAAGCAUGUCCAUUACUGUCUGCCAGGUACGUACUAAAAUCACCUUAUGCUGGAUAACACCUUUAAUGACGCAGACUAUUUUGACCUUAAAGAGUACCUG